This 74-nucleotide transfer RNA is filed under the name Burmannia disticha. RNAcentral describes it as "tRNA-Met". It matches the Rfam family "tRNA". From Rfam's summary of the family: Transfer RNA (tRNA) molecules are approximately 80 nucleotides in length. Their secondary structure includes four short double-helical elements and three loops (D, anti-codon, and T loops). The record is from RNAcentral. Lineage: Eukaryota; Viridiplantae; Streptophyta; Magnoliopsida; Dioscoreales; Burmanniaceae.
CGCGGAGUGGAGCAGUUUGGUAGCUCGCGAGGCUCAUAACCUUGAGGUCACGGGUUCAAAUCCCGUCUCCGCAA